This 453-nucleotide ribosomal RNA is filed under the name uncultured Bacteroides sp. RNAcentral's name for it is "partial 16S ribosomal RNA". It matches the Rfam family "Bacterial small subunit ribosomal RNA", at positions 341 to 792 of the family's 1533-position model. The record is from RNAcentral. Lineage: Bacteria; Pseudomonadati; Bacteroidota; Bacteroidia; Bacteroidales; Bacteroidaceae.
ACGGGAGGCAGCAGUGAGGAAUAUUGGUCAAUGGGCGGAAGCCUGAACCAGCCAAGUCGCGUGAAGGAUGAAGGUAUUAUGUAUUGUAAACUUCUUUAGUCGCAGGGAAAUAAGGCGGACGAGUCCGCUGAUGCUAGUAUGCGAAGAAUAAGGAUCGGCUAACUCCGUGCCAGCAGCCGCGGUAAUACGGAAGGUCCGAGCGUUAUCCGGAUUUAUUGGGUUUAAAGGGUGCGCAGGCGGAGAUGCAAGCCAGCCGUAAAAUCGUGGGGCUCAACCCCAUUGAGCGGUUGGAACUUCAUCCCUUGAUUGCGGCAGAGGGAGGUGGAACUCGUGGUGUAGCGGUGAAAUGCAUAGAUAUCACGAAGAACUCCGAUUGCGAAGGCAGCCUCCUGGACCGUAAAUGACGCUCAUGCACGAAGGCGCGGGUAUCAAACAGGAUUAGAUACCCUGGUA